UUUUAUUAGAUGAUAACUUGUUGAUAAAAACCCAACCCAACAUUUCAGAAAACCACAACAUUUCAAAUGUUACCAUCAGCUUACAUGGUCAACUGCUGGGAAAGCUGAUGUGUAUUGUCCAGAACAAUAUAAGCAGACAACAAACCAUCAUCCACCUUAUAAGAUGUACAGGUAAUAUUUCUGACCACUGUGUCGUGACUGUGGCUGUGGUGGAAGCAUUGCCAUUCUACUCAUUCUGGCUGUGUUUCUUGGUGUCCGGAAAUUCCAAAAGACUGGCACUAUGACUGUUAAUGAAGAUGAUGCUGAAGUGGAUGUUGUCUACUCAGAGGUUAGACUGAAGCAGGAUGGAAGAGAAACAAGAGAAACACCACCUAUUUCAAAUCAAGAUGAAAGUUAACGUUGACUUUUGGUCAAGUAGCUAAUAAAACUAUGCCAGUUUAGCAGUUCCAGCUGUGCAGUUAAUGUAAAGUGAAGAGCUCUCUGCACUGCACAGCAUAUGCUUUGUUGCUCGGCUUGUGUUUUGGAUGACUGAGAACCAACAGAGACAUCAA
This is a long non-coding RNA of Astatotilapia calliptera (eastern happy), 551 nucleotides long. NCBI's taxonomy places the organism in Eukaryota, Metazoa, Chordata, Actinopteri, Cichliformes, Cichlidae. The record is from Ensembl.